AGCGCCUCCCCCGAGACAGGUGCACCGGCCGGGCCUGCGCGGGGCAGGAGUCCCGAGUGAGGCCCCGCGGGCUCCCGUUAAGGGGCGCGGGAGCUCGCGGUGAAGCGCCCCGUACACACCCGGGGCGGGAGACGGUCCUGACCGCCUUGGCGACCGGCUGGCGUCGUUUCGGCCGCGCGACUCGGCCACCCGCAAGCUGCUGAAAAUACCCUUUCUCGUGGCCCUUCGCUGAGUGCCGAGGCAUGAACCCAAGUCCACUCCCGAGCUCGCCCAUUGACAAGUCCUUGAAAGAGGCAGUGACCUUCCCCAGGGACUUAACUGCCUCGCUGUGGACACUUCGCUAAGGGCAAAAGGCAAUCUUAGCCCAACCACCAGGAUCCUGUGAAAAAUCCCAAAUGUCCUUCAUGUUCAAAUGAGUCUUCACAGUUGCCAUUUGCCAGAAGACAGCAAUGCGAUCGUUGCAUUCAGU
Mustela erminea (ermine) is the source of this 469-nucleotide long non-coding RNA. RefSeq lists it as uncharacterized. NCBI's taxonomy places the organism in Eukaryota, Metazoa, Chordata, Mammalia, Carnivora, Mustelidae. The record is from RefSeq and is a predicted model, not a curated record. The transcript has 3 exons.